This 72-nucleotide transfer RNA is filed under the name Candidatus Pacearchaeota archaeon CG10_big_fil_rev_8_21_14_0_10_34_12. Its description in RNAcentral is "tRNA-Arg". It matches the Rfam family "tRNA". Rfam says of the family: Transfer RNA (tRNA) molecules are approximately 80 nucleotides in length. Their secondary structure includes four short double-helical elements and three loops (D, anti-codon, and T loops). Lineage: Archaea; Nanobdellati. The record is from RNAcentral.
AGGCUCGUAGUUUAACGGACAGAAUAUCCGGUUUCGGCCCGGCUGAUGGGGGUUCGAAUCCCUCCGAGCCUA